CAGUAGCCGCGGUAAUACGAAGGGGGCUAGCGUUGUUCGGAAUUACUGGGCGUAAAGCGCACGUAGGCGGAUAUUUAAGUCAGGGGUGAAAUCCCAGAGCUCAGCUCUGGAACUGCCUUUGAUGCUGGGUAUCUUGGGUAUGGAAGAGGUGAGUGGAAUUCCGAGUGUAGAGGUGAAAUUCGUAGAUAUUCGGAGGAACACCAGUGGCGAAGGCGGCUCACUGGUCCAUUACUGACGCUGAGGUGCGAAAGCGUGGGGAGCAAACAAGAUUAGAUACCCCGGUAGUCCCUGUCUCUUAUAC
This 301-nucleotide ribosomal RNA is filed under the name uncultured bacterium. Its description in RNAcentral is "partial 16S ribosomal RNA". It matches the Rfam family "Bacterial small subunit ribosomal RNA", at positions 509 to 807 of the family's 1533-position model. The record is from RNAcentral.